GCUCUUCUAUGCUGAUGUAGUUGUUGGCAGAAUUGAGACCCUUCAGUUGUAGACUUGAGGACAGCAGCUCGCUUUCAUAUGACCAUCUGCACUGGCCGUUCACAACAGGACAACUUAAUUCUUCAAGGUCAGAGUGUCUGUCUUCCGGUGUGUGGCAGGGUAUUCGUCACAACAGAGUUGACUGACGCAGACAGGACCAGCUGCAGCCUGGCUCUUACUGGGGAGUGCCUAGAAGGAACAGGAGACAUGAACCUUCUCCAGGUAGAAAUCACCUGCACAAGAACCAACCUAUAGAUAAAGCAAGAAACAUUUAACGACGUGUGCAAAAUACACAAGAA
Long non-coding RNA from Hyaena hyaena (striped hyena), 338 nucleotides. RefSeq lists it as uncharacterized. The record is from RefSeq and is a predicted model, not a curated record. Lineage: Eukaryota; Metazoa; Chordata; Mammalia; Carnivora; Hyaenidae. The transcript is spliced from 3 exons.